Long non-coding RNA from Carassius auratus (goldfish), 3134 nucleotides. RefSeq lists it as uncharacterized. The transcript has 2 exons. The record is from RefSeq and is a predicted model, not a curated record. Lineage: Eukaryota; Metazoa; Chordata; Actinopteri; Cypriniformes; Cyprinidae.
GGGGAUUUCCCUAGUCAGACUUCAUGGGAAAUCUGAGUCAUAUUUUAGUGACUCUUUCGCUCUCUCUCCUGGGUGUUGCCAGCCCUGAACGCCAUAUUUCCAUGUCUUUUUUCUGAUGUGAAUGAGCAAUAAAUUUAGGAUAAAGAUUAAAGACUCAUUGUGCAGCUAUAUGAUGCUGUUGCUGAUAUUUUUGUGGAGGUUUGAAUAUCAAGAUUCAAGUGAAGGAAUAAACAGACAUGCUUCUCCUCUCUAAAUCUAGUCUUUAUGCAUCAAAGAAUACCUGAUAUUUGCAAAAUGGACUCAUAUUGAAAAAAAUAACUACAUUCAUAUUAUAUCUGCAGCUGUACACAAAAAAUGAAGCCAUCUGGGAUUAUUCAGUAUCUAAGCUUUUCCUUUAUCAGCCAUGUGUGUCGUAAUACGUUGAUAUUAAUCUAGUUUUGGAUACUGAACAAGUAAACACCCGGAUGAACAGACAACACCCUUUUGAAUUCACUUUAACCGUACAUACUUUCCACGGAUGAUAACAGAAUAUAUAUUUUUAUUUUCAUAAAACAAACAACAAAGUACAUAUCAAUGUCACAAACCUCUGUGACAGAUCUGUAGACUGUGAAGGGUGUGUACUUUUAAGUGUGUGUUAUUUAACCCUCUUUUGUUCAGAGCCAGUACUUCUGUAUGGUGAGCAUAUAUACGCCCCCAGCAUUUUUUUAUGUAGUGCACAAACACACCUAGACAAAUAUACACACACACGUAGGUGUAUAGGUACCAUAGACAUGAAGAUCCAUCAGGAACGAUCAUGUCUAAAAUUAGAAUAUGAAAAGGAAAAUAUAAAAGAAAUUGCACAAAAUAAAAUCACUUUAUAAGACAUCAAAACUGAUAAUGGAAAACAAAUAUGUUGAUGUUAGCAUGUCUUUUUUUAUUGCAUUAAUCAGAGACAGAUGUGAACAGUAAUUGUGCUCUAAACUGUUAAGCAUUUAGCAAACACCCACAGACAUGUUUGAUCCCAUUUGUGGAGCUAUUGUGGGGGGAAAUGAGUGUUCUUUGUCUACGAGUUGAGAAAUAGAAAAGGAGUGGAGAAGAGGGAGAGGAGUCGAUGUGCUCAUGUCAUGUGGUAUACUGCUGACAUCUAGUGAUCAACUUCCUUAAAUAUAAUUAUAUGUUCAAAUGCCAUUUAUUAACAAAACCGGCUGCUGGAACUUUUUUCUAUAGGGCUGUGCCACUUCCAACAACUUUACGCAGACAUUCAAGCAUGAUCUAAUGUUUAACAGUUAAGUUCACACACAAUAUGUGCCUUACGGAGUACGUAGAAGAAGAAGAAGAAGAAGAAGAAGAAGAAGAAGAAGACGAGGAAGAAGAGGAAGAAGAAGAAGAAGAAGAAGAAGAAGAAGAAGAAGAAGAAGAAGACGAGGAAGAAGAGGAAGAAGAUGAAAAAGAAAACAAGUUAGUACUGUUGCCAUGACCUCGUGUGGUUGACACACCCCAGAGUCAUUCAUGGUUGCUUUGCAACGCUCUGUUUACACGGAUUUCAAACACGUCCACAUACUGUGGGUUCCUGAGGGGGAGGGGACUUGAACAUGUUAAAAUCACCAAAUGUGUCAUCAAGUUAACUAUGAUUUUAAACUCUAAGUCCUAAAAGGGUAUUUUAAUAUGUAAAUGUUAUUAUAAAAAGCCUAUACAUGUAAACACUAGCUUGUGCAUGAGGUCCAGUGAGGGUAAAAAAAAUCAUGAAUAUCCACAGAUAGGCCAAAACACAAAUGAAUGUGAUUGCUGGAAUGCAUAAAUUAUUGUUAUUGUAGAGUUAAUUCUGAGUUCAAUCAGUUUACUUAAUGACUUGUUGUGUAAAUGGUGGAUUUAGCCUAGAUAAAAAGGAUGAGAGUUGACCAACCUAUAGGCUAUCUAUUCGAAGUAGAAAGCAUUAAAAAAAAACAAAUCUUAUUUAUUUUUUUAUAUUUGUAUAAGUUACAAAUACUAAUUUCAGGAAAAUAAAAAAAUGUUUAAAUAUGUUUAUGUAUUGUGUGUAGUUCGUAAUCAAAUAAAUUUUUAUACUAAUAUUUUAACCAGUAGCUAAGAUAGAAUAAAUGCUAAUAAUUAACAAAGAGUUUUUAUCUGACUGCUCUUUGAAUGUCUAUAGAGUCCCUGUAGUACCAAUGAGUCUACCAGAAAACUAUGUUUCUAUCAGUCUGGUUGCUCUUGAAGCGGGAAUUAGUGUAAUUAGUUUCAAUUUAAAUUGAACUUUGUUGAUGCUGUGAGUGUCUGUUAGAGAUUCAGUCAUUUGUGAGAUAAGGCAAGGUUGUUCUGCAGCACUUCAGUCACCACGUUAAAUGAAACCUUUCAUCUAAGAGUUAUCAAUCAAGCAGCUCUUAUUGUAACAUGUUUUGAUGAUCACAGAGGUAAUAAAACACAGAAAAGUACACAGAACUAAACAUACAAACGUAUACAUGGUUAACCAAUUUAAUUUUCAUCUCAAGCUAGAUACAUUUUGUAAUAUGUUGUAUUUUGGGACAUCAUGCCUGCCAGGGGAAGUCGUGGCCUAAUGGUUGGAGAGUUUGACUCCUAACCCUAGGGUUGUGGGUUUGAAUCUUUGGAUGGCAAUACCACGACUGAGGUGCCCUUGAGCAAGGCCUUGAACCCCCGACUGCUCCGCAGGUGCCGCAGCAUAAAUGGCUGCCCACUGCUCCGGGUAUGUGUUCACGGUUUGUGUGUGCACUUUGGAUGUGUUAAAUGCAGAGCACAAAUUCUGAGUAUGGGUCACCAUACCUGGCUGAAUGUCACGUCACUGCAGAAAUAACAAUGCUUACCGGGUUAUUUUACUUUAAAGGCCUUGCACUUGUGAAAAGUAAAUAUAUUUUAAUGCUCAUACUUCUUAUAAGUUGUUUGUGCAAAUGAGGGAAAAAAUGGCACCCAUUUUCUAGAAUGAGUCUCACUGAAAGAAAACGGGUGACAUGACAUCUUUAUAACUUAGUAAAGAAUUGCUGAAUCCGACUCUGAACAGCAUGGAAGCAAAGGAUGACAAGAAACAACCAGUUUAUAAACAAAGUGUUUAUUUCUGUGGUGGAACUUACAGGACUCCUGUGGAUGAUUUCUUUUGUGUCUAAUGUUAAAACUUACAAAAAAAUUGAAAAUAAAAUUAACAAAAA